AACGAACGCUGGCGGCAGGCCUAACACAUGCAAGUCGAGCGCGCCUUUCGGGGUGAGCGGCGGACGGGUUAGUAACGCGUGGGAAUAUACCCUUUGGUACGGAAUAGCCUCUGGAAACGGAGAGUAAUACCGUAUGUGCCCUUCGGGGGAAAGAUUUAUCGCCAAAAGGAUUAGCCCGCGUUAGAUUAGGUAGUUGGUGGGGUAAUGGCCUACCAAGCCUACGAUCUAUAGCUGGUUUAGAGGAUGAUCAGCAACACUGGGACUGAGACACGGCCCAGACUCCUACGGAGGCAGCAGUGGGGAAUCUUGGACAAUGGGGGCAACCCUGAUCCAGCCAUGCCGCGUGAGUGAUGAA
RNAcentral lists this ribosomal RNA (355 nucleotides) under uncultured Alphaproteobacteria bacterium. RNAcentral describes it as "bacterial SSU rRNA". It matches the Rfam family "Bacterial small subunit ribosomal RNA", at positions 29 to 412 of the family's 1533-position model. The record is from RNAcentral. Lineage: Bacteria; Pseudomonadati; Pseudomonadota; Alphaproteobacteria.